RNAcentral lists this non-coding RNA (23 nucleotides) under Cricetulus griseus (Chinese hamster). Lineage: Eukaryota; Metazoa; Chordata; Mammalia; Rodentia; Cricetidae. The record is from RNAcentral.
CCUGUAUCUACGGACCACGGAGC